CUUGAUGGAGCCGAGGUAGAGCGGGUGGUCGGCGGGGCGGUCCUGCCCAUAGGUGGCCAGCAGGGCCUGGGCCUC
This is a non-coding RNA of Streptomyces albus subsp. albus, 75 nucleotides long. The record is from Rfam. Lineage: Bacteria; Bacillati; Actinomycetota; Actinomycetes; Kitasatosporales; Streptomycetaceae.